GACGAACGCUGGCGGCGUGCCUAAUACAUGCAAGUCGAGCGAAGUUUUUCUGGUGCUUGCACUAGAAAAACUUAGCGGCGAACGGGUGAGUAACACGUAAAGAACCUGCCUCAUAGACUGGGACAACUAUUGGAAACGAUAGCUAAUACCGGAUAACAGUAUUUCUCGCAUGAGAGAUAUUUAAAAGUUGGUUAUGCUAACACUAUGAGAUGGCUUUGCGGUGCAUUAGCUAGUUGGUGGGGUAAAGGCCCACCAAGGCCACGAUGCAUAGCCGACCUGAGAGGGUGAUCGGCCACACUGGGACUGAGACACGGCCCAGACUCCUACGGGAGGCAGCAGUAGGGAAUCUUCCGCAAUGGGCGAAAGCCUGACGGAGCAACGCCGCGUGAGUGAAGAAGGAUUUCGGUUCGUAAAGCUCUGUUGUUAGGGAAGAAUGGAUAUGUAGUAACUAUACAUGUAAGAGACGGUACCUAACCAGAAAGCCACGGCUAACUACGUG
RNAcentral lists this ribosomal RNA (499 nucleotides) under uncultured bacterium. RNAcentral's name for it is "partial 16S ribosomal RNA". It matches the Rfam family "Bacterial small subunit ribosomal RNA", at positions 28 to 507 of the family's 1533-position model. The record is from RNAcentral.